UCAAUAUAUUCCAAAUAUUCCAAUAUAUUCCAAAAUAUUCCACAGCAGGCCUGGGUCAUGCUGGAUUAGCAAAGACAAGGACUGGCCUAGAUGGAGUCACACCCUCCCCAGCCUUGGGUUUGGGUAAUUCUCAACACCCUAAUUCAUUCUCCCCUGGCAGCUGGAGAGACCCGUGGGACAGCCACUCACUGCAGAAGGGGCUGGUGAGAGACAUGCUCGUCAUCUCCGAGGGCCUGGCUCUGCGCCAGCCACACACUUAUCUGCCUGCUCCAUCUCCGGAGUUUCUGUCUCUGAGCUUUGGCAAUGGAAGUUGUGCUUCCACUAUUAGCCAACACCGAGCUGGACUCUGGUAACUGACACAGCCGUGCAUCUAGUGUAGCUCGGGUUGAGAUGACUUGGCUUUUUAAAUUGCCUUCUAUGAAUAUAUAUUUGUCCUAAGACUGGACUGGCCACAUGAAAUCAGGUUUUCAAAACGGAACUGCCUGUGAGGAUGUGUGAGUGUGGAUGUCAGGUGGCAAGGGGCUGAGAAGGAAAGUGCAAGGGGGCCUCCCAUCCCACAUGACUCACACGUUGCUCACAUACACACACCCAGCCCCCCCCCCCCAACCCCAACACACACACGCAGGGCUGUAAACCAUAUGAUUAGGCUCCUGCCUGACUCUCCCAGGCCAUCUCUCCCUGUGGUCCAGCCACCAUGGGCUGCUUUCUGCUCCAAACACACUCAGGAUUGCUGUGUCCCAGGGCCUGCUUGGUGUCCUCUGCGUAGACACUAGACCAGAGCUCACAGAGCCACCUCCCUCUCAAUAAUCAGCUCUCAGCUCAAAUGCCACCUCUUUAAAGAAGACUUCCUUAGAAACGGCCUGAUUUCUAGUUUCACCAAAAACUGACCCUGAGAUGAGAAUUUGGGUAUAUGGCUUAUUUGGAAGGUGAUCCUGAAAUGAGUGAGAAAAGGAAAUCCAAAAAAGCAGGCCAGUAAAGCGUGUGUCACUUAAGGAGCAGGUAACCACUGUAGGCAACUGGAGCUCAUUCCCCAGGACUCCUGAGAGCUCUCGCAAUGUCCCACCAAUGGUUACAGAGGUGUUUGCCUUGGAGUAAUUCAUUAAGCUGCACGUUUGCUCUGUGUAUUUUUCUGUAUCUGGA
Molecule: long non-coding RNA, 1140 nt
Filed under: Homo sapiens (human)
Lineage: Eukaryota; Metazoa; Chordata; Mammalia; Primates; Hominidae
Description: LNC_000224
Source: RNAcentral